This 71-nucleotide transfer RNA is filed under the name Trichosporon asahii var. asahii CBS 8904. RNAcentral describes it as "tRNA-Ala (TGC) (tRNA-Ala-TGC-1-1)". It matches the Rfam family "tRNA". From Rfam's summary of the family: Transfer RNA (tRNA) molecules are approximately 80 nucleotides in length. Their secondary structure includes four short double-helical elements and three loops (D, anti-codon, and T loops). Lineage: Eukaryota; Fungi; Basidiomycota; Tremellomycetes; Trichosporonales; Trichosporonaceae. The record is from RNAcentral.
GGGGAAAUCGUCUAGUGGUAAGACACAGACUUUGCAUGUCUGCGACCGGUGUUCGAUUCACCGUUUCUCCA